GACGAACGCUGGCGGCGUGCCUAAUACAUGCAAGUAGAACGCUGAAGGAGGAGCUUGCUUCUCUGGAUGAGUUGCGAACGGGUGAGUAACGCGUAGGUAACCUACCUGGUAGCGGGGGAUAACUAUUGGAAACGAUAGCUAAUACCGCAUAAGAGUAGAUGUUGCAUGACAUUUGCUUAAAAGGUGUAAUUGCAUCACUACCAGAUGGACCUGCGUUGUAUUAGCUAGUUGGUGGGGUAACGGCUUACCAAGGCGACGAUACAUAGCCGACCUGAGAGGGUGAUCGGCCACACUGGGACUGAGACACGGCCCAGACUCCUACGGGAGGCAGCAGUAGGGAAUCUUCGGCAAUGGACGGAAGUCUGACCGAGCAACGCCGCGUGAGUGAAGAAGGUUUUCGGAUCGUAAAGCUCUGUUGUAAGAGAAGAACGAGUGUGAGAGUGGAAAGUUCACACUGUGACGGUAUCUUACCAGAAAGGGACGGCUAACUACGUG
RNAcentral lists this ribosomal RNA (495 nucleotides) under uncultured bacterium. RNAcentral describes it as "partial 16S ribosomal RNA". It matches the Rfam family "Bacterial small subunit ribosomal RNA", at positions 28 to 507 of the family's 1533-position model. The record is from RNAcentral.